RNAcentral lists this ribosomal RNA (207 nucleotides) under uncultured bacterium. RNAcentral describes it as "partial 16S ribosomal RNA". It matches the Rfam family "Bacterial small subunit ribosomal RNA", at positions 568 to 774 of the family's 1533-position model. The record is from RNAcentral.
CGCGUAGGUUGUUAAUUAAGUUGGCUGUGAAAGCCCCGGGCUCAACCUGGGAUGGUCAGUCAAAACUGGUUAACUAGAGUGCAGUAGAGGGUAGUGGAAUUUCAGGUGUAGCGGUGAAAUGCGUAGAGAUCUGAAGGAACACCAGUGGCGAAGGCGGCUACCUGGACUGACACUGACACUGAGGCGCGAAAGCGUAGGUAGCGAACA